RNAcentral lists this ribosomal RNA (628 nucleotides) under uncultured bacterium. RNAcentral describes it as "bacterial SSU rRNA". It matches the Rfam family "Bacterial small subunit ribosomal RNA", at positions 201 to 847 of the family's 1533-position model. The record is from RNAcentral.
GAAAAGGAGCAAUCCGCUUUGAGAUGGCCUCGCGUCCGAUUAGCUGGUUGGUGAGGUAACGGCCCACCAAGGCAACGAUCGGUAGCCGGACUGAGAGGUUGAACGGCCACAUUGGGACUGAGACACGGCCCAGACUCCUACGGGAGGCAGCAGUGGGGAAUAUUGCACAAUGGGGGAAACCCUGAUGCAGCGACGCCGCGUGGAGGAAGAAGGUCUUCGGAUUGUAAACUCCUGUUGUUGAGGAAGAUAAUGACGGUACUCAACAAGGAAGUGACGGCUAACUACGUGCCAGCAGCCGCGGUAAAACGUAGGUCACAAGCGUUGUCCGGAAUUACUGGGUGUAAAGGGAGCGCAGGCGGGAAGACAAGUUGGAAGUGAAAUCCAUGGGCUCAACCCAUGAACUGCUUUCAAAACUGUUUUUCUUGAGUAGUGCAGAGGUAGGCGGAAUUCCCGGUGUAGCGGUGGAAUGCGUAGAUAUCGGGAGGAACACCAGUGGCGAAGGCGGCCUACUGGGCACCAACUGACGCUGAGGCUCGAAAGUGUGGGUAGCAAACAGGAUUAGAUACCCUGGUAGUCCACACCGUAAACGAUGAUUACUAGGUGUUGGAGGAUUGACCCCUUCAGUGCC